This 895-nucleotide ribosomal RNA is filed under the name Microascospora fragariae. Its description in RNAcentral is "LSU rRNA". It matches the Rfam family "Eukaryotic large subunit ribosomal RNA", at positions 35 to 964 of the family's 3401-position model. Lineage: Eukaryota; Fungi; Ascomycota; Sordariomycetes; Diaporthales; Melanconiellaceae. The record is from RNAcentral.
UAAGCAUAUCAAUAAGCGGAGGAAAAGAAACCAACAGGGAUUGCCCCAGUAACGGCGAGUGAAGCGGCAACAGCUCAAAUUUGAAAUCUGGCUUCGGCCCGAGUUGUAAUUUGUAGAGGAUGCUUUUGGUGAGGUGCCUUCUGAGUUCCCUGGAACGGGACGCCAGAGAGGGUGAGAGCCCCGUAUAGUUGGACACCGAGCCUCUGUAAAGCUCCUUCGACGAGUCGAGUAGUUUGGGAAUGCUGCUCAAAAUGGGAGGUAUAUCUCUUCUAAAGCUAAAUACUGGCCAGAGACCGAUAGCGCACAAGUAGAGUGAUCGAAAGAUGAAAAGCACUUUGAAAAGAGGGUUAAAUAGUACGUGAAAUUGUUGAAAGGGAAGCGCUUGUGACCAGACUUGUGCCCGGCUGAUCAUCCAGUGUUCUCACUGGUGCACUCUGCCGGGCUCAGGCCAGCGUCGGUUCUCGCAGGGGGACAAAAGCUUCGGGAACGUAGCUCCUCCGGGAGUGUUAUAGCCCGUUGCUCAAUACCCCUGCGGGGACCGAGGUUCGCGCUCUGCAAGGACGCUGGCAUAAUGGUCAUCAGCGGCCCGUCUUGAAACACGGACCAAGGAGUCGAGGUUUUGCGCGAGUGUUUGGGUGUAAAACCCGCACGCGUAAUGAAAGUGAACGUAGGUGAGAGCUUCGGCGCAUCAUCGACCGAUCCUGAUGUAUUCGGAUGGAUUUGAGUAAGAGCGUAUAGCCUCGGACCCGAAAGAUGGUGAACUAUGCCUGAAUAGGGUGAAGCCAGAGGAAACUCUGGUGGAGGCUCGCAGCGGUUCUGACGUGCAAAUCGAUCGUCAAAUUUGGGCAUGGGGGCGAAAGACUAAUCGAACCAUCUAGUAGCUGGUUACCGCCGA